Molecule: transfer RNA, 74 nt
Filed under: Mus musculus (house mouse)
Lineage: Eukaryota; Metazoa; Chordata; Mammalia; Rodentia; Muridae
Description: tRNA-Ser
Source: RNAcentral
GGCUGGAGAGAUGGCUCAGUGGUUAAGAGCACUGACUGCUUUUCAAAGGUCCUGAGUUCAAAUCCCAUCAGCCA